This 498-nucleotide ribosomal RNA is filed under the name uncultured bacterium. RNAcentral's name for it is "partial 16S ribosomal RNA". It matches the Rfam family "Bacterial small subunit ribosomal RNA", at positions 29 to 523 of the family's 1533-position model. The record is from RNAcentral.
AUUGAACGCUGGCGGAAUGCUUUACACAUGCAAGUCGAGCGGCAGCGCGGGGCAACCUGGCGGCGAGCGGCGAACGGGUGAGUAAUGCAUCGGAACAUGUCCAUGGAUGGGGGAUAGCCCGGCGAAAGCCGGAUUAAUACCGCAUGAGCCCGAGAGGGGAAAGGGGGGGACCGCAAGGCCUCACGUCGAGGGGUUGGCCGAUGCCCGAUUAGCUAGUUGGUGAGGUAAUGGCUCACCAAGGCGAUGAUCGGUAGCUGGUCUGAGAGGAUGAUCAGCCACACUGGGACUGAGACACGGCCCAGACUCCUACGGGAGGCAGCAGUGGGGAAUUUUGGACAAUGGGGGCAACCCUGAUCCAGCCAUUCCGCGUGAGUGAAGAAGGCCUUCGGGUUGUAAAGCUCUUUUGUCCGGAGCGAAACGGGGCGCGUGAAUAUCGCGCUCUACUGACGGUACCGGAAGAAUAAGCACCGGCUAACUACGUGCCAGCCGCCGCUGUAA